GAUGAACGCUGGCGGCGUGCCUAAUACAUGCAAGUCGAGCGAACAGACGAGGAGCUUGCUCCUCUGACGUUAGCGGCGGACGGGUGAGUAACACGUGGAUAACCUACCUAUAAGACUGGGAUAACUUCGGGAAACCGGAGCUAAUACCGGAUAAUAUAUUGAACCGCAUGGUUCAAUAGUGAAAGACGGUUUUGCUGUCACUUAUAGAUGGAUCCGCCCCGCAUUAGCUAGUUGGUAAGGUAACGGCUUACCAAGGCAACGAUGCGUAGCCGACCUGAGAGGGUGACCGGCCACACUGGAACUGAGACACGGUCCAGACUCCUACGGGAGGCAGCAGUAGGGAAUCUUCCGCAAUGGGCGAAAGCCUGACGGAGCAACGCCGCGUGAGUGAUGAAGGUCUUCGGAUCGUAAAACUCUGUUAUUAGGGAAGAACAAAUGUGUAAGUAACUAUGCACGUCUUGACGGUACCUAAUCAGAAAGCCACGGCUAACUACGUG
This 497-nucleotide ribosomal RNA is filed under the name uncultured bacterium. RNAcentral's name for it is "partial 16S ribosomal RNA". It matches the Rfam family "Bacterial small subunit ribosomal RNA", at positions 28 to 507 of the family's 1533-position model. The record is from RNAcentral.